CUAAAAUGAUAUCAUUAGCAGGACAUUCACAUAUUUCUAAGAGAGGUCUAACAUCCAGUUAUUUACAAAUCAUUGCAUUGUUCACACAACUAUACUAUGCAAUUAAAAUGAAAUAGAAUAUGAGAACUUCAAAUGGUAAAUCACGUAGCAUUUCAUCAUUUAUCUUCCAAUUACAUUGACACUUGUAGAUCACAUGAGAGUAGAAGAGUACCUGGAGAUUGAAAUAGGAACAUAAAUAGUGAAGUAUCAGUAGUGCAACAACAAGGAUCAACAACAUCAACAACAACCAUA
RNAcentral lists this long non-coding RNA (291 nucleotides) under Nicotiana benthamiana. RNAcentral's name for it is "long non-coding RNA (NBEN_LNC026389)". The record is from RNAcentral. Lineage: Eukaryota; Viridiplantae; Streptophyta; Magnoliopsida; Solanales; Solanaceae.